GGGCCCGCACAAGCGGUGGAGCAUGUGGUUUAAUUCGAUGCAACGCGAAGAACCUUACCGAGACUUGACAUCCCGUGACCAUCUACGAAAGUAGAGUCUAGCUUCGGCUACACGGAGACAGGUGGUGCAUGGUUGUCGUCAGCUCGUGUCGUGAGAUGUUGGGUUAAGUCCCGCAACGAGCGCAACCCUCAUCCUUAGUUGCCAGCGGGUGAUGCCGGGGACUCUAAGGAGACAGCCGGUGAAAGCCGGAGGAAGGUGGGGAUGACGUCAAAUCAUCAUGCCCUUUAUGUUUCGGGCUACACACGUGCUACAAUGGUCAGUACAGAGGGGGGCGAAGGCGCGAACCGGAGCAAAUCCCUGAAAGCUGAUCUCAGUUCGGAUUGCAGGCUGCAACCCGCCUGCAUGAAGUCGGAAUCGCUAGUAAUCGCAGGUCAGCAUACUGCGGUGAAUACGUUCCCGGGCCUU
This 465-nucleotide ribosomal RNA is filed under the name uncultured bacterium. RNAcentral's name for it is "bacterial SSU rRNA". It matches the Rfam family "Bacterial small subunit ribosomal RNA", at positions 917 to 1382 of the family's 1533-position model. The record is from RNAcentral.